AUUUAUUUAUAAGUCCUCUUCACACGUUCAUUCUUGAUAAUUCCUCGCACCGUUCUCUCUAUCUGUCUCACACACAAAUGCACAUGCAUGUUUGUUAUAGGUAUAUAGUAAAUCUUGUGUCAACAAGUCUCAACUGAAGUUUUGUUCAUUUGAGCAAAGAGGUCCCUUUACUUGAAAGAAAAUCUUCAUCUCGAAGGGUAGUAGGAGGAUUAGUUGCUUUCUCAAUUCAUUGUGAAAGAAGCUUUAUCUUAGCUUUUACAAAUAAAAGAAACACCCAACACGAAGAAACCCUACAAAUUUUCUUUGAUUCUCAAUCUUCUCGGCCCGUUGCCUUCCAUGACUACUCACCAGAGACUCCCCUCGAACCUCAGUUCAGUCAAAUCUAGGUUUACAUAUCGGUUCCUUAAAUCCCUGAACAAACUGAAAAAGAAUAGAUCUGCUUCACCAUCUAUCAGAGAGACUUACAGAAGAUAUCAUUUGAUUAGGGUUGCCUCCUAUGCAUCGAUGGCUUCCGCGGUAAGACCGAGGAGAGCUUGGAGUCAUGCGACUCUUUGGAAGAUUCGUAACCGUACAUUUCACCGUGCUUUGAUGAAACGAAGCCGAACCCAUUCUUCAAUGAGAAGAGGUGCAAGAGGAAACCCUAGAGAAGAGUUAGGUUUUGGGCAGGUAAGUGAUCUUCGGAAGCUUGUGCCAGGCGGUGAAGAAAUGAAAUUUUGCAGAUUGCUGAAUGAAACUGCUCACUACAUAAAAUGUCUUCAAGCCCAAGUACAGAUCAUGAGGAACAUUAUAGAUCAUUCUUCCACUUGAGCUGUACUUUCAUCCAUAUAUCGGUAAAAUUCCAUGUGAAGUAGAUGACUUGGACAUCGUAUUACAUAUAUUAAAUUUGCCCUAAAUCUCUUAGGAUCAUUAUAUAUAUUUUUUCAAAAAUGAUUUCUUAAGCAUCGGUGCUUAACAUGGCACAUCAUUUAAUUGGUGAAUAAGUUAAUGGUAGAUUCCAUGUAUUUAAUGAUUCACCGAUUAAAUGAUGUGGCAUGUCACCGAUACUUAACAUAAGCUAAACACCGAUGUUUAGGAGAUCGUUCCUCUAUAUAAUUCUUUUAUAUGUAUUUUAAAUAAAUUAUGGCGUACAGUUAUAGGAAUAUGGUAGUUAUAUAAUUUUGUCCAGCUCUUAAUUUCCCGGCUGCUGAAUUUUCUGUCUUAGUAAUUUUAUUACUGUUGGUUUCUAUAAAAAUUAUAUGGUUUGUUGUAUAUCGCUCCGGUCUCCAGCAGCCCAAGAUGUCUUUUCAAGAUCUGCCAAGAAAAUAGAGUAUAGUGGGCGUGUAGAUGUUAAAGUGGGAUCGGCCAAAUUAUGUAAUUCAAUCCCGUCUUUAUUGUACUUUAUAUAUUUUGAUUAUUAAUACAAUUAAAUUGCCACAAAGAGCGGCUUAAAUUAAAAUAAUGAUAAAAGACUAAACUCCCCUAAAGUGGA
This 1468-nucleotide long non-coding RNA is filed under the name Olea europaea subsp. europaea. Lineage: Eukaryota; Viridiplantae; Streptophyta; Magnoliopsida; Lamiales; Oleaceae. The record is from RNAcentral.